GAGGUUGUGGCUCAGUGGUAGAGCACUUGCCUUGCAUGCAUGAGGCCCUGGGUUCAAUCCUCAGCACCACA
RNAcentral lists this transfer RNA (71 nucleotides) under Marmota monax (woodchuck). RNAcentral describes it as "tRNA.Ala". It matches the Rfam family "tRNA". From Rfam's summary of the family: Transfer RNA (tRNA) molecules are approximately 80 nucleotides in length. Their secondary structure includes four short double-helical elements and three loops (D, anti-codon, and T loops). Further hydrogen bonds mediate the characteristic L-shaped molecular structure. tRNAs have two regions of fundamental functional importance: the anti-codon, which is responsible for specific mRNA codon recognition, and the 3' end, to which the tRNAs corresponding amino acid is attached (by aminoacyl-tRNA synthetases). tRNAs cope with the degeneracy of the genetic code in two manners: having more than one tRNA (with a specific anti-codon) for a particular amino acid; and 'wobble' base-pairing, i.e. permitting non-standard base-pairing at the 3rd anti-codon position. Lineage: Eukaryota; Metazoa; Chordata; Mammalia; Rodentia; Sciuridae. The record is from RNAcentral.